Molecule: long non-coding RNA, 1002 nt
Filed under: Cricetulus griseus (Chinese hamster)
Lineage: Eukaryota; Metazoa; Chordata; Mammalia; Rodentia; Cricetidae
Description: lncRNA (ENSCGRG00015041652.1)
Source: RNAcentral
CAGCACUCAGGAGGAAGCAGAGGUAGGCCAAUCUCUGUGAGGUUGAGGCCAGCCUGGUCUACAGAGCAAGUUCCAGUACAGGCUCCAAAGCUCCAAAGCAAUACAGAGAAACCCUGUCUCAAAAACAAACAAACAAACAAACAAACAAACAAACAAAACAAAACAAAAAAACAACUCAACCAAAGAAAUGGGAAUAAGAAACAGUGUUGGGAGGGGUGACACAGGAUUCCCAUGGAGAAAUCGGAUUGCCUCUCCACAACGCAGGAAAAGAGCCAAGCCUGUUGAAGUGCUUGCAGAGGGUGGAGGAAAUACAGUCGCAGAACUGAAAAGAGUGCCUCUGUUGUAUUUUGUUAAGAAUGUGUUUGUAUAGAUAUUUGUGUUUUCUUUCAGUUCUUUACCAUGUGUUGUAACAUGAAUCAAGAGAAUGUCAAUGAUUAUUAUAUGGGAGUUGCCGAUGCUAGAAGGAUGUCUCCCAAGAACAUUACAGCUACUCGAGAUUUAGAAUUCAUUUGUGGUGGUACAAGGGAUAGUUAUAUUAUGUCUAGGUGUUAUUAUGACAUGGUUAUUGUUUUUUUCAUUUGGAAAUUAAUCAUGACAUAAGGAUAUAUGAUCGUGUGUCAAAUUGACAAGGGGUGGAUUGUGAUGGCUAGUCUUGGUUGUCAACUUGACUGUAUCUGGAAUGAACUACGAUUCAGAAGCAGAGGGUACUCUUGUGAUCCGGAUCUUGAGGCAGGAAGACAACAUGCCUUUGAUCUGGAUCUUGAUGCUGGAUGACACAUGCCUUUAAUCCAGACACUGAGGCAGGAAGGCACACCUUUAAUCUGGGCCCCACCUUCUAUUGGAAGCCUGUAUAAGGACAAUGGAAGAGGAAAGGGUGUGUUCUUUGCCUGUUUGCCCUCACCUCAGUCAGCACGUUCAUUUCAUUCUUCGAGAUCCCAGCAGACCAGCUGAGACACCCAGCCUUGUGGGGCUGAGCAGCUACUAUAUUCUUGGACUUUCCAC